This 200-nucleotide ribosomal RNA is filed under the name Uroplatus garamaso. Its description in RNAcentral is "Uroplatus sp. Ca11 MV-2023 partial large subunit ribosomal RNA". Lineage: Eukaryota; Metazoa; Chordata; Lepidosauria; Squamata; Gekkonidae. The record is from RNAcentral.
CAAACAAGCUAUAGCUCACCUUAAAUAACCCCACGGGCACAAAUUAGUUCAUAACUAAAAGCGUUUUAAGUUGGGGCGACUGCGGGGAAAAACAAAACCCCCAUGAAACACAUUAUUUUAAGUGUACACACUGACAAUAAAAGAUUGACCCAGUAUAACUGAUUAACGGACCAAGUUACCCCAGGGAUAACAGCGCAAUC